RNA transcript from Amborella trichopoda, 2183 nucleotides. It is a transcript of the gene named Major facilitator superfamily protein, with no coding region annotated. The record is from RefSeq and is a predicted model, not a curated record. Lineage: Eukaryota; Viridiplantae; Streptophyta; Magnoliopsida; Amborellales; Amborellaceae.
UUCGAUUUUUGUUUGUAAAAAACCCCUGAAAUUUGGAACCGCUCUCCACGCGCUCUCUGAUAAUGUUGGAAAUGAAGAGCCUGUCAACACAAACUUUGACCCUUCACCCUCUUGUUUCAGAGCUCACAAGCCCUGAACUUUUCCUUUCUCUUUCUUCAUCAAAAUUGCUUUGCCCCCAAGUCGUUAAAUCCAGCUUCAUAGCUCAAAGGCUUCAGAGGAUCCACAAUCCUAUGUUGCGGUCCCUUUGGUGUCACUCGCGAGAUAUACAUCAAGAACAUUCAGACAUGGGAGAUGGCACCCCAAAAUAUUCAGUGGACGAGGCACUUUUAUCACUUGGGUUUGGGAAAUUCCAAGGCCUCAUGCUUGCUUAUGCUGGAAUGGCCUGGAUAGCAGAGGCCAUGGAAGUGAUGCUUCUCUCUUUUGUAGGACCAGCAGUACAGUUAGAGUGGAACCUUUCUUCUCGUGAAGAAAGCAUGAUCACGAGUGUGGUUUUCGUUGGCAUGCUAUUUGGGGCCUACACUUGGGGCAUUGUAUCUGAUAACUAUGGACGAAGGGCGGGAUUUUUUGCUACGGCUCUAGUUACAGGUGUGGCUGGUCUUCUAAGUUCAUUUUCCCCGAAUUACGUCUCAUUGAUUAUUAUUCGCUGUGUGGUUGGAGUUGGAUUGGGAGGUGGUCCGGUGCUUUCAUCAUGGUUUUUGGAGUUUGUUCCUGCUCCAAACAGGGGCACCUGGAUGGUUGUCUUUUCAGGUUUCUGGACCCUUGGCACAAUAUUGGAAGCGUCUCUUGCAUGGGCUGUCAUGCCGACAUUGGGCUGGAGGUGGCUUCUUGCAUUGUCUUCAAUACCUUCACUUGUUCUCCUUUUAUUUUACACAGUUGUACCAGAAUCCCCAAGAUUUCUUUGUCUCAAGGGAAGAACAAAUGACUCACUUCAGAUCUUAGAGAAAAUUUCUCGAAUGAAUGAAAAGCCCCUGCCACAUGGCACACUUAAGUCUGAUGAUCUUGAAGAUAAAUGCUUGCCAAUGGAAGACUCACACUUUCUCCCUGCUGCGAGACCAGAGUCCAGAGUCACAAAGCGAAUAGUGGCUAAAAUGGGGGCCUUUGCUUCCUUUUUUAUGCUUUUCUCACCAAAAUUAAUCAGAUCGACACUCCUGCUUUGGGUGGUCUUCUUUGGAAAUGCAUUUUCCUAUUAUGGCCUCGUUUUGCUAACAUCUGAGUUAAGCAAUCAGAACAGGGCAUGCACAUCUACAAAAUUGCAAUCAAAGGUCACUGCAGAUGUUAAUCUUUACAGGAAUGUUCUUAUUACAAGUUGUGCAGAGAUUCCAGGGCUUUUGUUAUCGGCAGUGAUGGUGGACAGGGUUGGCCGCAAGAUUUCCAUGUCUGCCUUGUUUUUCUUGUGUUGCAUUUUUCUUGUACCUUUAGUAGUUUCACAGCCUGAUAUAUUGACCACAAUUCUUCUCUUUGGGGCUCGCAUAUGCAUUACUGGAACUUUUACAAUUGUGUACAUCUAUGCUCCAGAGGUAUACCCAACCUCAGCAAGGACUACAGGUUUUGGAACCGCGAGUUCUGUGGGAAGAAUUGGAGGGAUUGUGUGUCCACUGAUUGCAGUUGGUUUGGUGCAUAGUUGCCAUCAAACAUUAGCAGUCAUCUUGUUCGAAAUUGUGAUAUUUUUCUCAGGUCUUGCUGUAAUAUUCUUCCCUCUAGAAACUAAAGGUCGUGCUCUGAGAGAUACUAUGUCAUCAUCAUCAUCAUAGUUUUUUUUCAAUUAAUUGGGGUCAACUACAUGGAUACCGGUCCGCCAUUCUAAUCUAUUAAGUGCCAAGCCCUCAGUGAAGCUAUGCUGUUUCAAAACAGGCGUUCAGAUCAAAAAAAUUGGGCAUGGAGCAGGAUGAAUCGUAGGAUGUUGUUGAAAGUUGAAACCAUCCACAUAUGUAAGAGAUUCUUGCAGUAACUUUGUUAACACGAGGUUGGAAAAAAGGCAAAAGACACGGUUUCCCAAUGGCAAUUCCAAUCUCCACUCCUAAUAUUUUGUUAUUAUGUUUCUCGAUUUGGCCUAUUAAGAUCAGUUCAUUGGAGGGAUACAAAACCCGAUUCCUGGUUUCAAAACAUUGAAUGGGCAUAUAAGUUGUUACAAUUCAAAUUUUGGGGCUAUAUCAUAAACUAAUUCUAAAUUCUCAAAAGACUCA